AGCGAACGCUGGCGGCAGGCCUAACACAUGCAAGUCGAACGAACUCUUCGGAGUUAGUGGCGGACGGGUGAGUAACACGUGGGAACGUGCCUUUUGGUUCGGAAUAACUCAGGGAAACUUGUGCUAAUACCGAAUGUGCCCUUCGGGGGAAAGAUUUAUCGCCAUUAGAGCGGCCCGCGUCUGAUUAGCUAGUUGGUGAGGUAACGGCUCACCAAGGCGACGAUCAGUAGCUGGUCUGAGAGGAUGACCAGCCACACUGGGACUGAGACACGGCCCAGACCCCCACGGGGGGGAGGAGGGGGGGAUUUUGGCGAAAGGGGGAAAGGCGUAACGAGCCCUGGCGGGGGAAAGAGAAAGGGUUUGGGGAUAGAAAAUUUUUUCCCCGGGGAAGGAAAAUGAGGGCCCCGGGAAAAGAGCCCCCGGCAAACUUGGUC
Molecule: ribosomal RNA, 434 nt
Filed under: uncultured bacterium
Lineage: Bacteria
Description: partial 16S ribosomal RNA
Rfam family: Bacterial small subunit ribosomal RNA
Source: RNAcentral